Molecule: transfer RNA, 65 nt
Filed under: Galeruca nigrolineata
Lineage: Eukaryota; Metazoa; Arthropoda; Insecta; Coleoptera; Chrysomelidae
Also listed under: 1 other name
Description: tRNA-Asn
Source: RNAcentral
UUAAUUGAAACCAAAUAAGCGGUUUAUCACUGUUAAUGAUAAUAAUGAGUAAAACUCCGAUUAAA